UACGGAGGGUGCAAGCGUUGCUCGGAAUUAUUGGGCGUAAAGGGUAGGUAGGUGGUCUCAUUUGUCUGGGGUGAAAGCCUUGAGCUUAACUCAAGAAGUGCCCCAGAAACGGUGAGACUAGAGUCCUGGAGAGGGUCGUGGAAUUCCCGGUGUAGCUGUGAAAUGCGUAGAGAUCGGGAGGAACACCAGAGGCGAAGGCGGCGACCUGGACAGGAACUGACACUCAACUACGAAAGCGUGGGGAGCAAACAGG
This 253-nucleotide ribosomal RNA is filed under the name uncultured bacterium. RNAcentral's name for it is "partial 16S ribosomal RNA". It matches the Rfam family "Bacterial small subunit ribosomal RNA", at positions 524 to 776 of the family's 1533-position model. The record is from RNAcentral.